GAUAAACGCAGGCGGCGAGCCUAACACAUGCAAGUCGAACGAGCUUGUCUCUUUCGGGGGAGAAGCGAGUGGCGGACGGGUGAGGAACACGUGGGUGACCUACCUUUCAGUGAGGAAUACCGGCGAGAAAUCGCCGACAAUACCGCAUGAGCUUCCCUGUGUGAAGGAGGGAAGGAAAGCUUUGUCUUUCGCGAGAGAGAGAAGGCGCUGGGGAGAUGGGCCCGCGGCCGAUUAGCUAGUUGGUGGGGUAAGAGCCUACCAAGGCGUCGAUCGGUAGCUGGUCUGAGAGGACGAUCAGCCACACUGGGAUUGAGAACGGCCCAGACUCCUACGGGGGCAGGUAGUGAGGAAUUUUUCGGCAAUGGGGGCAACCCUGACCGAGCAACGCCGCGUGCAGGAAGAAGGUUUUCGGAUCGUAAACU
RNAcentral lists this ribosomal RNA (422 nucleotides) under uncultured bacterium. RNAcentral's name for it is "bacterial SSU rRNA". It matches the Rfam family "Bacterial small subunit ribosomal RNA", at positions 28 to 431 of the family's 1533-position model. The record is from RNAcentral.